ACUUAGCAGAGAUGCUUUGGUGCCUUCGGGAACUCUGAGACAGGUGCUGCAUGGCUGUCGUCAGCUCGUGUCGUGAGAUGUUGGGUUAAGUCCCGCAACGAGCGCAACCCUUAUCAUUAGUUGCUACGCAAGGGCACUCUAAUGAGACUGCCGGUGACAAACCGGAGGAAGGUGGGGAUGACGUCAAGUCCUCAUGGCCCUUAUGGGUAGGGCUUCACACGUCAUACAAUGGUCGGAACAGAGGGUCGCCAACCCGCGAGGGGGAGCCAAUCCCAGAAAACCGAUCGUAGUCCGGAUCGCAGUCUGC
RNAcentral lists this ribosomal RNA (307 nucleotides) under Anophryoides haemophila. RNAcentral's name for it is "partial Bacterial small subunit ribosomal RNA". It matches the Rfam family "Bacterial small subunit ribosomal RNA", at positions 995 to 1308 of the family's 1533-position model. The record is from RNAcentral. Lineage: Eukaryota; Ciliophora; Oligohymenophorea; Philasterida; Glauconematidae.